This 492-nucleotide ribosomal RNA is filed under the name uncultured bacterium. Its description in RNAcentral is "partial 16S ribosomal RNA". It matches the Rfam family "Bacterial small subunit ribosomal RNA", at positions 29 to 506 of the family's 1533-position model. The record is from RNAcentral.
AGUGAACGCUGGCGGUAGGCCUAACACAUGCAAGUCGAACGGCAGCACAGUAAGAGCUUGCUCUUACGGGUGGCGAGUGGCGGACGGGUGAGGAAUACAUCGGAAUCUACUUUUUCGUGGGGGAUAACGUAGGGAAACUUACGCUAAUACCGCGUACGACCUACGGGUGAAAGCAGGGGAUCUUCGGACCCUGCGCGAUUGAAUGAGCCGAUGGCGGAUUAGCUAGUUGGCGGGGUAAAGGCCCACCAAGGCGACGAUCCGUAGCUGGUCUGAGAGGAUGAACCAGCCAAAUGGGAAUUGAGAAACGGUCAAGACCCUUACGGGAGGCAGAAGUGGGGAAUAUUGGACAAGGGGCGCAAGCCUGAGGCAGCCAUACCGGGUGGGUGAAGAAGGCCUUCGGGUGGUAAAGCCCUUUUGUUGGGAAAGAAAAGCAGCAGGUUAAUACCCCGCUGUUCUGACGGUACCCAAAGAAUAAGCACCGGCUAACUUCGU